RNAcentral lists this long non-coding RNA (1528 nucleotides) under Olea europaea subsp. europaea. The record is from RNAcentral. Lineage: Eukaryota; Viridiplantae; Streptophyta; Magnoliopsida; Lamiales; Oleaceae.
UUUAUUGCAUAUAAUAUCUUGCCUAAAGGUGUUAUUAUAUGUAAUAUUUUUGGAAAAUGGCAUGAGAAAGUUAACGAACUUAUUUUGGUUUAGAAAUUUCCUUCUGCCCAAAGGUGUUGGUUAUUUCGAAAACUGAUGUAAUUUUGUUAACUAACUACGUGAUGUGUUUUAAGAGUACCUUAUAGCAUGUUGUAUUGUCAACCCAAAAGUGACUUUAUGAUGAUGCACCUAGGCUCUUACCGUAAUAAAAUUCAUAUGUUUCGAUUUAAAUUACGAAUUAUCUAAUUAAUUGCCCAUAUUAAUUAGUUGGAUAUUUCAUCAUCAUUUGAUUGCAUGCAUUAAGUUUGGAUGAUAUUAAGAGUGAUAUUUUAUGUUUCCACAGUUUAUAAUGCCUCAUCUCUUUCGAAUCAAUUGUCUGCUAUUGAAACAUUGACUGGGAAUAACUAUGUAAGAUGGAAACGAGACGUAGAAAUAGCACUUAGUCUUUUGGAUUUGGAUUUUGCAAUGGAGAAAAAGUUUGAAAAACCCACAGAUAAAAGUACCAUUGAAUAUAUAGCCGAGCAUGAAAAGUGGGAAAGGGCUAACAAACUGUGUUUGAAAAUCAUUAAGCGAUCGAUAUCUGAUUCCAUUCUAGGUGUCAUCCCUGAUAAUGAAAAUGCCAAAAGUUUUAUGGAUGCCAUAGGAGAAAAAUUUAUUGAGUCUGAUAAAGUCGAAACUGGGGAUCUGAUGGAUAAAUUGAUGAGCAUGAAAUAUGAAGGCACAAGUGGUGUUAGGGAACAUGUCAUGAAAAUGAUAAAUAUAUCAUCUAAGCUAAAAGCUCUUGACAUUCCCAUUGCGGAGCCUUUCCUGGUCUAUCAUGUUUUGAAUAGCCUUCCUAACAAGUUUAAUCAGUUUAAAGUUGCUUACAAUGCUUAGCGGUAUAAGUGGAAUUUGAAUGACCUCAUAGCAGUGUGUGCCCAAGAAGAGUAUAGGAUGCAUAGUGAAACUGUUGAAACUGUGCAAUUAACUUUUCAGCCAUCACAGAAUAAGGGGCCUUCUCAUAAUCAUAAACCUAAGUUUCGUAAGGGUAAUAAGUCUUACCGAAGUCAACAGAAUAAAAAUUUUAGUGGUCCUAAAGCAGUUAUAAAGAAAAAUGAUCAAUGCAAGUUCUGUAAAAAGAAGGGUCACUGGCAGAAAGACUGUUUUAAGUUCAAGACUUGGUUGGAAAAGAAGAAGAGUUCUUCAGGUAUUCCCUUGGCCUUAGUUUGUUUUGAGUCUUCUUUAGUAGAUGUACCUUUGAAUUCUUGGUGGUUAGACUCGGGAGCUAGUUUUCAUAUUGCGAAUUCCUUGCAGGGGUUCAUAAGCAAACGGAGGCCAAGUGAGAAUGAAGUAAGCUUGAGUGUUGCAAAUGGAUUCCAAGUGAAUGUUGAAUUCAUAGGAGUAGUGAAGUUAACUUUGGAGUCUGAUUUUUAUCUUAUUUUGGAAAAUACAGUUUAUGUACUGCAGAUGAGACGGAAUUUAAUUUCUAUACCAAAACUUGAUACUUGUG